AGGUGAAAACAGAGGAAAAAGGGUAGAAAAUCCCUCUUGAAUGCCUGUGGGAAGGAACCCGCCCGUUUGGGCUCCGCGCGCCGCUCGCACAUGUGCACACACAGCCAGCACAAGAGGUGCGCACAUCUCAUCUGCACAAGGUGCAAGGCACAAUCUGUGCGCGCGACUCAUCAAAGGUAGAUGGGGACGCAUCCCAUCGCGCCGGUAGGCCUUCGCAAGCGAUAGGCAAAGCCUGAAAUGUGCGACAGGCUGGGGUAGCAUGCGCUAC
Molecule: long non-coding RNA, 268 nt
Filed under: Carica papaya (papaya)
Lineage: Eukaryota; Viridiplantae; Streptophyta; Magnoliopsida; Brassicales; Caricaceae
Description: long non-coding RNA (CPAP_LNC011068)
Source: RNAcentral